AGUCGAACGAAACUUCUUUAUCACCGAGUGCUUGCACUCACCGAUAAAGGGUUGAGUGGCGAACGGGUGAGUAACACGUGGGCAACCUGCCCAAAAGAGGGGGAUAACACUUGGAAACAGGUGCUAAUACCGCAUAACCAUAGUUACCGCAUGGUAACUAUGUAAAAGGUGGCUAUGCUACCGCUUUUGGAUGGGCCCGCGGCGCAUUAGCUAGUUGGUGGGGUAAAGGCUUACCAAGGCAAUGAUGCGUAGCCGAACUGAGAGGUUGAUCGGCCACAUUGGGACUGAGACACGGCCCAAACUCCUACGGGAGGCAGCAGUAGGGAAUCUUCCACAAUGGGCGAAAGCCUGAUGGAGCAACGCCGCGUGGGUGAAGAAGGUCUUCGGAUCGUAAAACCCUGUUGUUAGAGAAGAAAGUGCGUGAGAGUAACUGUUCACGUUUCGACGGUAUCUAACCAGAAAGCCACGGCUAACUACGUGCCAGCAGCCGCGGUAAUACGUAGGUGGCAAGCGUUAUCCGGAUUUAUUGGGCGUAAAGGGAACGCAGGCGGUCUUUUAAGUCUGAUGUGAAAGCCUUCGGCUUAACCGGAGUAGUGCAUUGGAAACUGGGAGACUUGAGUGCAGAAGAGGAGAGUGGAACUCCAUGUGUAGCGGUGAAAUGCGUAGAUAUAUGGAAGAACACCAGUGGCGAAAGCGGCUCUCUGGUCUGUAACUGACGC
RNAcentral lists this ribosomal RNA (719 nucleotides) under uncultured bacterium. RNAcentral's name for it is "bacterial SSU rRNA". It matches the Rfam family "Bacterial small subunit ribosomal RNA", at positions 60 to 746 of the family's 1533-position model. The record is from RNAcentral.